ACCAGACAUGGUAGUGCAUGCCUGUAAUCCCAGCUACUCAGGAAGCUGAGGCAGGAGGAUCACAAGUUGGAGGCCAGCCUAGGCAACUUAAGUGAGACCCUGUCUCAA
RNAcentral lists this small RNA (108 nucleotides) under Marmota monax (woodchuck). The record is from RNAcentral. Lineage: Eukaryota; Metazoa; Chordata; Mammalia; Rodentia; Sciuridae.